Hippocampus zosterae (dwarf seahorse) is the source of this 1554-nucleotide long non-coding RNA. RefSeq lists it as uncharacterized. The transcript is spliced from 3 exons. Lineage: Eukaryota; Metazoa; Chordata; Actinopteri; Syngnathiformes; Syngnathidae. The record is from RefSeq and is a predicted model, not a curated record.
CUCCUGACUGCUGGGGAUGUCGUAAUGACAAACCUGACGAGAGAACGUUUGGGGGAAAAAAAAAGUGAGCUUGCAUCCCACGCGGCAGAGCGCGAGGACUGCUGACUCAUUCGUAACAUGGCAGAGGUUUUCAUGCGCACGCCCUCGCAAUGGAGUCGCGGGGCAUGUUGGAGCCUAUCCCAGCUGGCCAAAUUGAAUUCAAAGUGCGGCAGGUUUGUUACUUUAUGGACCCGCAUUUGCCACCUCUGCGAGUGAGUGUGGGUGCCCUCCUCCACCUGUAGACACAGGAAGCGCCAGCUAUUACUGUCGUUCACGGCGGCGUGUGAAGUGACGGCCUGGUUCGAAACACUCACCGGCUCCAACCGGUGUCUCUCGGUGGCCAUGUCCACCUUGAGCGAGUGGAAGGGCGUGUACACCUCUCCCAGUGUCAGACGAACCGGCUCGCGCUCAAACACUAGUAUGUCGCCAUCAGCCUCCUUGAAGCCCGGCGGCUGGUAGUUGUGCGGAGUGACUGAGGACGAUGAAAUGAGCACAUGGCUUUUGAAUCAGAGUUUAAAACAAAAGCGUUGCCUGUGAAAAUUAUGAUUUUAUUUUGGAAGAACAGGACGCAGAAUGACCUCACCUAAUUUUAUUCUAUCAAUGUUUUUUCUGGAUGCAAGGUAAUGUUAUUGAUUUCUGACUAAAAAAAUUAUGAGAUUAGUGUCACUUGUACACAACUGCUGUACAGUUGACUACAAGCAGUACAAAAAGGGAAAAACUACGGACAAACAGACAUUUGGUUGAUUUUUUUUUUCCGUUGAUGUGUGAAGGGCCAUAAUCAGUCCAUUUAAAUACUCAGCCACGUAACGGGUGGUCCCGAAUAAUUUCAUUUAAAUUCCAGAGCAUUUGUUUUUCCAUAAUUGUUCACUAUCUGCCAAUACAAACGGUUUGUGUUUGCGCCGUAGAUAUCGUCAUAACGUUUGGCAUAAAAAUCUCCUCCCUGAAGCCGUUUACCUUCAUCGUAGUAGGUCAGCGUCAUGUUGAGGAAGAUUUUGUUGGGCAGAGGGCCAAGGUUCUGCAUUAGGAUGUAGAGCUUCCUCACCAGCAAGAUGCUAGCCUUCUCUGUGCUGCCAACCGCAAUGGCAAAAUCCUCGUUUGGGGUGCUGAUGGAAGGAGAGCUAGAAGGAGCAAACAGUCAACGGGUGAGCUGACCGCCUGUGUUUUUAUGUCAAGUUGCUCUUCCAAAAAAGUGUUGGGUGGAAAAGGUGGGAAGAAAAACCCCACCUCCUCCCAAAGUUCAUCUGUGCCCCUUCUGUGUUGUAGUGAAUCCUGAAUUGAUAAAACUCUGUCACUUUCUGAAAGUGAAGAAAUGAGAGAUGUUCAGUCAUCCUGUUAAGUGGUCAGGAUUUGUCUGGUGUUUCGUCACAAUGAAAGCACAUUACCUGAGGGUCGUCGGGGUCAGUGGAGACCUGAAAUAGUGCCAGAAGUUGACUCAAAAUUGUUACUGACAUUGAUUUUGAUGGAAAAGACUAUUUAAUCCAAACAUCUGCCUUGAAUUAGUUUAAUGAAACACUC